AUCGGGACAGGGAGAGGGAGAGACACGGAGCUGAAUUCUCCGGCAAGUAGCUGCGAUCGGCUUCAGAGAGUGAGCUCAGAGCCGGUGUGUGGGAGCGUCGCUGGGAGAAAGGAGCGGACAGAAUUCACAAAUCUCGGAUAGAGGUACUCAUGGAGUUCCUGACUCAAUAGACUUGCCAACUGCUGGCUGGGACGAUGGUUGGUCAGCCGGAAAGACACAGUCAGGGAGGUCGGAGUCUUCAAUCAAUCCUGCUGCCAGUUACUCAGGAAAGUCCUGACUCAAUAGCCUUCCCAGCUGCUGGGUGGAUUGUCCAUCACCACAUUGAACGCAGUUGGUCUGCCAGAGGGAGACAAAGGGCAGGGAGAUCUGGAGCCUUCAAUAAAUCCUGUAGUGAGGUAAGGCCCCCCACAGUGCACAGAGCAAAGAGCAAUGAGAGGGCUCCAAACAUUUGUUAACACAACAUGACAUAGAUACAGUGCUAGAGGGGAGCACAGUGCACACACACCCCAGACUC
Molecule: long non-coding RNA, 514 nt
Organism: Hemiscyllium ocellatum (epaulette shark)
Lineage: Eukaryota; Metazoa; Chordata; Chondrichthyes; Orectolobiformes; Hemiscylliidae
Exons: 3
Source: RefSeq, a predicted model, not a curated record